This 179-nucleotide ribosomal RNA is filed under the name Rhizophagus irregularis. Lineage: Eukaryota; Fungi; Glomeromycota; Glomeromycetes; Glomerales; Glomeraceae. The record is from RNAcentral.
CAGUCGUACUUAUGGGUAAUCAGCCUUUUGGGUGUGAUUUUGUGGAGUGUGAGGAGCUAAUCGCCUUCAUCUUUGCAUAUUCGUGCACUUUGGGUGUACUUGCCCGUGUGUAAGUUAACAUCAAUUUUGGUGGUCAUAAAAUGGCUGGAGGAAUGUAGCUUCGAUCUUGUAUUGAAGUG